GCACGUGCAGCCAUAUAUGUAUGUUGUUUUGGUUCAUUCUGAAAUAAAGUAAUAAUCCAAUAAGGUUUUGCUCUUCCAAGCCAUGUUUCUGUGGAUCUGUUUUGUCCAGUACUGAGCAACAUUAAAUGUGAAGAAGAGGUGAUGAGCAACAGCCAGUCCAUUCUUAUUUCCAUACCACUGAAGUUUUGUCUUUGAAAGACAUUCCACUAUGGAACCUAUGUAAUUCAGAGACAAUAAGGAACAGUCAAAAAUAAGGUGCCAGGUCUACUAUUGAUCUCAAGGUUACAUGACUGUGUUUCUACAAAUGCUGUGAAACUAUGAAGAGCCAAGCAGGAGCUCUUGCAUCUUCCAUCAGUGGGCCCAAAACACUACACUGGGAGACCAAAGGCAGAACAGCCUCUCUGCAUUUGGAAGAUGAACUAGCAUUAUUCUAUGAAUACAAACAAGAUGACUAAAAAAACCAGAAAUCUGGGGUAUCUUAAAAUGAGGCCUGACUUUUGAAGGGAGUGUUAAAAUGCUAGAAGAACCACAGAACAGUUGUUUGAAGUUUCAAAAAUUUUUCUCUGCAUUUCCCUUUUAAAGGAGAACUGGUUAGUCAAGAUGGGUGAAGUGCAGUCUGAAGUAAUGUCUGGUUACACCAUGUAACAUCUCAUAUAGCCUUAUAUAAUUGACUGGGAAAGUGUGUGUGUGGGGGGGUUGUUCAGUAAUCUUAAGCAGUUACUAAGCUGUCAAAAAAGCCUAUGCUAGUAUUUUUCAUCUUGCCAACACUUCUGAACCAAGUCUAAAAGAUGGGUUUUUGAUAUAAAGAAUUAACAUAUACCCAGUAAACAUGAGAUCAGUAGAAACAUCAAUCACCUUACAGCAAAGGAGGCUUUGUUUUGUUUUAGAUGUGCUCUCUUUGAGCAAGUUUGUCUUUCUCAGAAUACCUAUGAAUUGACUAUAGAAACAGUAUAAGAGCAUCCUGCCCUGAAACAAAUAGAAGCUUUUCCCUUACGUAACUUAAAAAGAGAUUAAUGCUGCCUGCACUUGACUCUCUCAUUGGCCAAGAUUAAAUUUCCCUGCUAAGUAUGUCUAGAGGGAAAAUAAAACAAUUUCUUUGCUCCCCAUGGAAUUUUUUAUACUAUGGCAUACCACUAAUCUGGUCUUCAGGACUGGCAUUUUCCUAUAAUCUUGCUUGGUUUCCUUGCUUCAGUUUCAAAAAUAGAAUGUUUGAAAAGAUGGGUCUUUUAGUUACAAUUAGGGAACUACAUGAAACAAAUAUCUGAUAAAUACUAGUGUCAGAAUUUUGAGUUGGGGGAUGGGUUGUUGGU
Empidonax traillii (willow flycatcher) is the source of this 1310-nucleotide long non-coding RNA. RefSeq lists it as uncharacterized. The record is from RefSeq and is a predicted model, not a curated record. The transcript has 3 exons. NCBI's taxonomy places the organism in Eukaryota, Metazoa, Chordata, Aves, Passeriformes, Tyrannidae.